UAUAAGGGAGUUUGAGUUUUUGCUUGUAAUGUUUGACCACUCGUCUUAUUCAAAAUUUUUUGAAAUUAUUAAUUACUUUAUAUGUGACUUACUUUAUUAUCUAUAGUACUUUAAGCACAACUUUUCGUUUUUUAUAUUUGCAAAAAAAAAAAAAUAAAUAAGACGAGUGGUCAAACGUUGCAAGCAAAAACUGAAAAUCCCUUAUA
RNAcentral lists this microRNA precursor (206 nucleotides) under Oryza sativa Indica Group (long-grained rice). Its description in RNAcentral is "MIR812 microRNA precursor family". It matches the Rfam family "MIR812 microRNA precursor family". Lineage: Eukaryota; Viridiplantae; Streptophyta; Magnoliopsida; Poales; Poaceae. The record is from Rfam by way of RNAcentral.